AGGCGCGUAGCUCAGUUGGUAGAGCGCUACCUCGACACGGUAGAUGUCGUUGGUUCAAGUCCAAUCGUGCCUA
Molecule: transfer RNA, 73 nt
Filed under: Candidatus Magnetomorum sp. HK-1
Lineage: Bacteria; Pseudomonadati; Thermodesulfobacteriota; Desulfobacteria; Desulfobacterales; Candidatus Magnetomoraceae
Rfam family: tRNA
About the family: Transfer RNA (tRNA) molecules are approximately 80 nucleotides in length. Their secondary structure includes four short double-helical elements and three loops (D, anti-codon, and T loops). Further hydrogen bonds mediate the characteristic L-shaped molecular structure. tRNAs have two regions of fundamental functional importance: the anti-codon, which is responsible for specific mRNA codon recognition, and the 3' end, to which the tRNAs corresponding amino acid is attached (by aminoacyl-tRNA synthetases). tRNAs cope with the degeneracy of the genetic code in two manners: having more than one tRNA (with a specific anti-codon) for a particular amino acid; and 'wobble' base-pairing, i.e. permitting non-standard base-pairing at the 3rd anti-codon position.
Source: Rfam by way of RNAcentral